GUACUGAUGAUGAGUUCAAAACUAGGACGAAACAGCUGUCCAGUAC
Trichobilharzia regenti is the source of this 46-nucleotide non-coding RNA. The record is from Rfam. NCBI's taxonomy places the organism in Eukaryota, Metazoa, Platyhelminthes, Trematoda, Strigeidida, Schistosomatidae.